Molecule: ribosomal RNA, 468 nt
Filed under: uncultured bacterium
Lineage: Bacteria
Description: partial 16S ribosomal RNA
Rfam family: Bacterial small subunit ribosomal RNA
Source: RNAcentral
GACGAACGCUGGCGGCGUGCUUAACACAUGCAAGUCGAACGGAAAGGCCCUGCUUUUGUGGGGUGCUCGAGAGGCGAACGGGUGAGUAACACGUGAGUAACCUGCCCUUGACUUUGGGAUAACUUCAGGAAACUGGGGCUAAUACCGGAUAGGAGCUCCUGCUGCAUGGUGGGGGUUGGAAAGUUUCGGCGGUUGGGGGUGGACUCGCGGCUUAUCAGCUUGUUGGUGGGGUAGUGGCUUACCAAGGCUUUGACGGGUAGCCGGCCUGAGAGGGUGACCGGCCACAUUGGGACUGAGAUACGGCCCAGACUCCUACGGGAGGCAGCAGUGGGGAAUAUUGCACAAUGGGCGGAAGCCUGAUGCAGCAACGCCGCGUGCGGGAUGACGGCCUUCGGGUUGUAAACCGCUUUCGCCUGUGACGAAGCGUGAGUGACGGUAAUGGGUAAAGAAGCACCGGCUAACUACGUG